CUACUACUCCCUCCAUCCCAAAAUUCUUAUCUUAGGUUUGUUCGGAAAUGGAUGUAUCUAAAUACUAAUACAUGACUAGAUAAAUUCAUAUUUAGACAAAUCAAAGACAAGAAUUUUAGGACGGAGGGAGUACAUG
Molecule: non-coding RNA, 136 nt
Organism: Hordeum vulgare subsp. vulgare (domesticated barley)
Lineage: Eukaryota; Viridiplantae; Streptophyta; Magnoliopsida; Poales; Poaceae
Source: Rfam